UACGAAGGGGGCUAGCGUUGUUCGGAAUUACUGGGCGUAAAGCGCGCGUAGGCGGUGAUCUUUGUCAGAGGUGAAAGCCCGGGGCUCAACUCCGGAAUUGCCUUUGAAACGGGAUCGCUAGAGUCCGAGAGAGGAUGGCGGAAUUCCUAGUGUAGAGGUGAAAUUCGUAGAUAUUAGGAAGAACACCGGUGGCGAAGGCGGCCAUCUGGCGCGGUACUGACGCUCAGGCGCGAAAGCGUGGGGAGCAAACAGG
RNAcentral lists this ribosomal RNA (253 nucleotides) under uncultured bacterium. Its description in RNAcentral is "partial 16S ribosomal RNA". It matches the Rfam family "Bacterial small subunit ribosomal RNA", at positions 524 to 776 of the family's 1533-position model. The record is from RNAcentral.